CACGGUCCAGCGCGACGGCAGGCACGCCCGCCUGUUGCUGGCCAAGAACCCGGCGGGCUGGCUGGAGGCGUUCGACGUCCUGGACCGUGC
RNAcentral lists this transfer RNA (90 nucleotides) under Streptosporangium violaceochromogenes. RNAcentral's name for it is "tRNA-Thr". The record is from RNAcentral. Lineage: Bacteria; Bacillati; Actinomycetota; Actinomycetes; Streptosporangiales; Streptosporangiaceae.